Molecule: long non-coding RNA, 890 nt
Filed under: Panax ginseng (ginseng)
Lineage: Eukaryota; Viridiplantae; Streptophyta; Magnoliopsida; Apiales; Araliaceae
Description: long non-coding RNA (PGIN_LNC017737)
Source: RNAcentral
GCUAAUUUUGUGGAGUCCUGGUUUAAGUCUUCUUGUUUGGAUAAGGUACUCAUUCAUUUUGAUCUGAUCAUGUUUGUGCAUGUUUAUGCUUAUUUGGUUGCCUCUCCAAGAAAUCGUGUUUAUCUGAUGGCUUUGCUGGAAAACAGUGUAGGAAAGCCAAAAGACCGAGGGUCGACAAUGAGGAAAACAGGGCAUAUCACCUAAUUAACAGACCCAUAUCAAAAAUCAACAGAAAUCAAUAAGCAAGAAUUGACCCAUCAAUACCCGUAUAAUCCAAAUACAUUAAAAACAGUUCACAUCAAGGUUGAAUAAACUUCAACCACAGCGAAACAUCACAGAAAAAUUAGAAGGAAAAAGAAAUCGGAAUCUAUUACAUACACAUACGUGAGAGAUUCUUAGAGAAGCUAGGGCUUGCAGACGCGGAAGAAAGGCUAGGGCUUGCAGACGCGGAAGAAAGGCUAGGGCUUGCAGACGCGGAAGGAAGGAAGGCUCUGCUUCAAUCGCUUCUAUCAAUUCACGAAUUUGGGGAGAAUCUCUCGACUAGGGCUUAUUAUUUGGGAGAAUCUCUUCUCCCCAAAUUCCCGAUUCAGGCAAACUGAGAGAGAAGAUAGAAGCUUAGGUUUCCGAUUUGGAGAGGAGAGAAAGGCGAAUUGGAGCGAGAAGAGAGAGUGAGUUAAGAAUUUCAGAGUUCACGAUUUGGGUUUUUUUCAAAAGAGCCAGGAGAGAGAGCGGAGGAAGGCUUGGCUUUUAAAAAUUAUGUCAUUUAAGGUUUAUGUUCCUUAAGAAUUCUGUUUCUGUUCUGAUAUACAUAUAAUUAACAGUGUAAUAUGAUAAUAAAAUUAUGACCACAAACUUGAGCAUAUCUUGUUAUUUUAACCUAAAUUCACUAA